GUUGCUGGAGGUAUCAGAAGUGCGAAUGCUGACAUAAGUAACGAUAAAGCGGGUGAAAAGCCCGCUCGCCGGAAGACCAAGGGUUCCUGUCCAACGUUAAUCGGGGCAGGGUGAGUCGACCCCUAAGGCGAGGCCGAAAGGCGUAGUCGAUGGGAAACAGGUUAAUAUUCCUGUACUUGGUGUUACUGCGAAGGGGGGACGGAGAAGGCUAUGUUGGCCGGGCGACGGUUGUCCCGGUUUAAGCGUGUAGGCUGGUUUUCCAGGCAAAUCCGGAAAACCAAGGCUGAGGCGUGAUGACGAGGCACUACGGUGCUGAAGCGACAAAUGCCCUGCUUCCAGGAAAAGCCUCUAAGCAUCAGGUAACAUCAAAUCGUACCCCAAACCGACACAGGUGGUCAGGUAGAGAAUACCAAGGCGCUUGAGAGAACUCGGGUGAAGGAACUAGGCAAAAUGGUGCCGUAACUUCGGGAGAAGGCACGCUGAUAUGUAGGUGAAGCGACUUGCUCGUGGAGCUGAAAUCAGUCGAAGAUACCAGCUGGCUGCAACUGUUUAUUAAAAACACAGCACUGUGCAAACACGAAAGUGGACGUAUACGGUGUGACGCCUGCCCGGUGCCGGAAGGUUAAUUGAUGGGGUUAGCGGUAACGCGAAGCUCUUGAUCGAAGCCCCGGUAAACGGCGGCCGUAACUAUAACGGUCCUAAGGUAGCGAAAUUCCUUGUCGGGUAAGUUCCGACCUGCACGAAUGGCGUAAUGAUGGCCAGGCUGUCUCCACCCGAGACUCAGUGAAAUUGAACUCGCUGUGAAGAUGCAGUGUACCCGCGGCAAGACGGAAAGACCCCGUGAACCUUUACUAUAGCUUGACACUGAACAUUGAGCCUUGAUGUGUAGGAUAGGUGGGAGGCUUUGAAGUGUGGACGCCAGUCUGCAUGGAGCCGACCUUGAAAUACCACCCUUUAAUGUUUGAUGUUCUAACGUUGGCCCGUAAUCCGGGUUGCGGACAGUGUCUGGUGGGUAGUUUGACUGGGGCGGUCUCCUCCUAAAGAGUAACGGAGGAGCACGAAGGUUGGCUAAUCCUGGUCGGACAUCAGGAGGUUAGUGCAAUGGCAUAAGCCAGCUUGACUGCGAGCGUGACGGCGCGAGCAGGUGCGAAAGCAGGUCAUAGUGAUCCGGUGGUUCUGAAUGGAAGGGCCAUCGCUCAACGGAUAAAAGGUACUCCGGGGAUAACAGGCUGAUACCGCCCAAGAGUUCAUAUCGACGGCGGUGUUUGGCACCUCGAUGUCGGCUCAUCACAUCCUGGGGCUGAAGUAGGUCCCAAGGGUAUGGCUGUUCGCCAUUUAAAGUGGUACGCGAGCUGGGUUUAGAACGUCGUGAGACAGUUCGGUCCCUAUCUGCCGUGGGCGCUGGAGAACUGAGGGGGGCUGCUCCUAGUACGAGAGGACCGGAGUGGACGCAUCACUGGUGUUCGGGUUGUCAUGCCAAUGGCACUGCCCGGUAGCUAAAUGCGGAAGAGAUAAGUGCUGAAAGCAUCUAAGCACGAAACUUGC
Molecule: ribosomal RNA, 1545 nt
Filed under: Escherichia coli
Lineage: Bacteria; Pseudomonadati; Pseudomonadota; Gammaproteobacteria; Enterobacterales; Enterobacteriaceae
Description: partial 23S ribosomal RNA
Rfam family: Bacterial large subunit ribosomal RNA
Source: RNAcentral